RNAcentral lists this ribosomal RNA (501 nucleotides) under uncultured bacterium. RNAcentral's name for it is "partial 16S ribosomal RNA". It matches the Rfam family "Bacterial small subunit ribosomal RNA", at positions 30 to 523 of the family's 1533-position model. The record is from RNAcentral.
AUUGAACGCUGGCGGCAGGCUUAACACAUGCAGGUCGAGCGGGGGAAGGUAGCUUGCUACCGGACCCAGCGGCGGACGGGUGAGUAAUGCUUAGGAAUCUGCCUAUUAGUGGGGGACAACAUCUCGAAAGGGAUGCUAAUACCGCAUACGUCCUACGGGAGAAAGCAGGGGAUCUUCGGACCUUGCGCUAAUAGAUGAGCCUAAGUCGGAUUAGCUAGUUGGUGGGGUAAAGGCCUACCAAGGCGACGAUCUGUAGCGGGUCUGAGAGGAUGAUCCGCCACACUGGGACUGAGACACGGCCCAGACUCCUACGGGAGGCAGCAGUGGGGAAUAUUGGAAAAUGGGGGGAACCCUGAUUCAGCCAUGCCGCGUGUGUGAAGAAGGCCUUAUGGUUGUAAAGCACUUUAAGCGAGGAGGAGGCUACUCUAGUUAAUACCUAGGGAUAGUGGACGUUACUCGCAGAAUAAGCACCGGCUAACUCUGUGCCAGCCGCCGCGGUAA